RNAcentral lists this long non-coding RNA (1236 nucleotides) under Vigna radiata. RNAcentral's name for it is "long non-coding RNA (VRAD_LNC005763)". The record is from RNAcentral. Lineage: Eukaryota; Viridiplantae; Streptophyta; Magnoliopsida; Fabales; Fabaceae.
UUGUGUCGUUUAAGUGUGGUCUAUUAGGGGAGGUUGUUCUUUGUUUAGAUUUCGUUCUCUAGUGAAUUUUUGUUGAGUCUUGUGUACAGUUUUGCAUGCUUUUUGUGAAUUCUGGACUGUGAUUAGGUUGCUAGUUUCCCUUCACUGCAUUGAUACUCUGUUUUGUUGGAUGCCACACUUUUCUUUGCUUAGAAGAUGAUCAUGAUGUUUGAGAGUUGGAUUGAUUGUGACCGAUUACCUGUGUGAGAUUUGAGCCAUUUGAUGAUCUUUCUUGUGUGUGAUAUGUCUCUGGAUUGCUUGCACAUUUGCCUUGGCUUGACUCUGUUGAUAAUUCUUGAUUCAUGAGCAUGUUUGAAAAUGAUAAAGGCAUUUUGUUGAUUGAGCCUCUCUAGCCAGAUAGCCUACCUUGUUAUGAUCUCUUUGUUAGCCUCCUUGAGCCUAUACUUCCCCCAUUUCUUUGUUUUGAACCUCAUACAAUAGCCUAAGUGAAAAACCAUGAUCACCUGAACCUUAGGAAUUUUGGAGCUUUGGAAUUGUUUUGGGAAUAAGUGUGGUCUCUUAGGAGUUGCAGAUGAAUUGGCUAGUGAGUCCUCUUCUUGCGGUUGCACCGUAAAUAUCAUGUAUAUUGUCUUUUGAAUUGUGUGUUGAUUAAAAAAAAAAAAUGAGAGAGAAAAUACAAAAAAUAAAAUAAAAUUUGUGAAUAAAGGAGUCAAGAAGAGGAUUGAAUUAGAAGUUGUGGGUGUGUUUGAAUGUGUUUACACUUGUUCCCCAUUGCUCCUCUAUUCCUUUUGGUUUGUAGCUUCUUAUCCAGAUGUAUCCUCCUUUGUCCUUGGCCCCAUUAACCAUGAAAAGACCUUUUGAUUUGAACAUGCAUAUGUGUUUGAGUGUUGAUAUUAGAGGCUUGCCAAGUCUAUUUGUGUUUGUUUUCUUGAGUGCAUUGAGUGACAUUGAUUUACCUUAAACACUUGAGAGAAACACUGAUUGUGUGCAUCUGUGAGGCUUUGUUGCUUUUGAUUCAUCUCUUGAACUGAUUGACUGUUUUCCAUGGACUGAAUUGUUUGGAUGAUUCUGUGAGUAUCUGCUUUCAUUUCUUUUGUGUUGGAUACUGUCCAUUUCCUUUCACUGUCCAGAUUUUGUGAGAACUAUGCAACUCUGUGUUUGUCCUUGUGAGUCUUUGUCAUUUGUCUGUUGAGUCUGUGUCGCUUCCUGAUGUCCUCGGUACUGUUCCCUGUUUUG